GUAACAGAGAAAAAGUUUCCUACAAUGGUUACCGGUUGGACGAGUUUGUUCCAUAGAAAAAGUCAGCUUAUGUAAGCCAAGAAGAUCUGCAUAUUUCUAAGAUGGCUUAGGGAAACACUUGAAUUUGCUGCUCAAUGUCUUGGUGCUGAAAACCGAGGAAGUAGGCUUCCUUAAAUUUACUUAAAUGAAGUUUAAUCUUAGCCGCCUUAUCAAUUCUCUUGAGCAGUUGAUAGGCUCAGAGCUAUGAUGAUAGAAGUCAGUAAAAGAGAAGAGGCACGAAUUGUUCCGGAUCCAGAUGUAGAUACUUAUAUGAAGGAGAGGUGGUUGCUCCCACAAAAGCCUUAUUUCUGGAUGAAAUAUCAAAUGGUUUAGACAGUUCAACUGCAUAUCAGAUUGUUGUUUGGCCAUAGCAGCAGGUGCAUAUCACUGAUGCUACUGUAUUGAUUUUUACUUCUUCACCCAGUUCCAGAAACCUUUGAACUCUUUGAUGACUUCAUUUUGAUGCGGAAGGAAAGGUUGUGUAUCAAGGACAAUGCAAUAAAGUUGUAGAAUUUUUCAAGGACUGUGAAUUCAGGUGUCCUCAAAGACAAGGUGUAACUGACUUUCUUCAGAAGGUAAGUGAAUUACAACUUACAAUCAUUUGUUUUUCCAUGCUUAAAUGUUAGUACUUCAGGUUUUAUUUUUAAUUCAUUUAUUCGGCUGGUGAUAUCUCAAAAAGAUCAAGUGCAAUACUGCUACUGCACUGAUUCUAAUUGGCACUAAGAGAAGUUGUUCCUUCAAUGUGUAUUUCUUCAAUUUUCUGCUAUGGCAGCUGUUUGAAUUCAAUGCUACUGAAGUUUGUUCAAUGUUCACCCAGUUGAAUUCAAAUGCUGCCUCCUGAUCAUCUUGUGCGAUGAUUUUGCAAGAAAAGCCGGCCAAUAGUCAAGUCAAGAUUCCAAUGACGGAGGGAUGGUCCUAACUUUUAAACCCUAAUCAGUAGCAAUUCAGAAUAUGAACUAUUAUGUUGACUUCCCUACGGAGAAGAGGAAACUCCUAACUGCUCUCUGAUAUAUCUAUUGGAUUAAGGCCUACUGUGCUUAUGACAUCGAUGGGUGUUAGUGAAGCUGGAAAGUCCACUCUUCUAGGCCUUGGCCAAACGAUGUUGUGUCAAUGACAAAACUCAUGGUUCUUGCUUUAAUCACUUAUGAAUCAAUGAGUAAGAGUUUGUUAGUACUAAAAGCUCUAGGUUCAUUCCCUUGGAAAACUGAACUGAGGUCAUCCAAUUGUCAUGAAUUGACUAAUCUAUGUUCGUUUUUCAGUUGCUUAAAGGUUGCAGUAUUCCCAGGUAAAAUAUUAUUGACCAGAAGGGCAGUUCCUAAAGAGGACCCAAGCAUACAUUCCCCAAGUUUUGGACGUAGCUUUUCUUAGAAUGAUGCUUGGACAAGUAAUAACAUGCAUGAUUCCAUAGAGGUGGAAGAUCAAGAUACAACCAAGCCAAACAAUGGAAGUGCUUAGUCCACCAUGGGUGCUAGAGCUACGGAUUCUGCAAGGGUUAUGAAAUUUACCAAGGAGCUCUCUGCUUCCAUGGUCAUAUUGGGAAUCAUAUUGAGUAGGGAUAUGCACUACCUAAUUCAGAUGCAAGGGAGGGAGUCCUAAAAAGGAAGCGUAGUAUUUUGACUGAAACGAAUGAAAACUCUGAACAUAUCAUAGCACAAGUAAAAUUAAGUAAUACAUUAAUGAAAUGGUAAUGUGCUAGGCCUCCAAUACAAAAGGAAAAGCGUAGAAAUUAAACAUAGGAAGCUGAAAUCAGGGCAGAUAAUGGAGCUGAAAUCAAGGCUUGCCCUGAUCAGCAGCUUGAUUCAAGGAAAAAGAACAAGAGCAAGAUCGAUAGAACAAAGCCAAAACAGCCUAUAAAAAGGGAAGAUAAGAUGAAGAAGAGGCAAGCAAGAAUACAAUAAUUCUUUAAGGGGGAUUUGCAGCCAAAAGAGGGAGGGGGUUGGCAUCUCUACUUUCAGCAUAUUUCUUAGAGUUCUUGUUACAAUUUUCUGUAAGAGAAUAAACACUUUUAGUGUGAAGUUCAUAGAUAUAAUCCUUUGUGCUUGUGUAUUUACACUUUGUAGUUCUCUAAGUGAUUACAAAUUCUAUUCAAGCUCAUUUUUUUUA
Mangifera indica (mango) is the source of this 2142-nucleotide long non-coding RNA. RefSeq lists it as uncharacterized. NCBI's taxonomy places the organism in Eukaryota, Viridiplantae, Streptophyta, Magnoliopsida, Sapindales, Anacardiaceae. The transcript has 8 exons. The record is from RefSeq and is a predicted model, not a curated record.